AGUUAACAAGUUCAGGUAUAACUGGUAAAUUCAACUUUCUUUUUCCACCACCAUCCUCGAAGAAGCUGAACCAGGGCUAAAAUUGCUGGCUUUAAUUGUUAUGCUUCACUCAGGAUAUGUGUUCCUGGAAUCAUGAGUAAUUGAUUAAGAAGAAUGCGUAGUGCUAUAACUCAUAGUGCUUUUCCUCUUAUCUUUUUUUUGGGUGCAUAUUUGUGGAACCUAAAUGUGUUCUGUUGGUUCUUCAGAUGGCUUUAAACAAAAGAA
This 264-nucleotide unclassified non-coding RNA is filed under the name Hevea brasiliensis (rubber tree). Lineage: Eukaryota; Viridiplantae; Streptophyta; Magnoliopsida; Malpighiales; Euphorbiaceae. The record is from RNAcentral.